Molecule: ribosomal RNA, 426 nt
Filed under: uncultured Actinomycetes bacterium
Lineage: Bacteria; Bacillati; Actinomycetota; Actinomycetes
Description: bacterial SSU rRNA
Rfam family: Bacterial small subunit ribosomal RNA
Source: RNAcentral
AACGCGAAGAACCUUACCAAGGUUUGACAUGCAGGGAAAAGCCUCAGAGAUGGGGUGUCCGUAAGGGUCCUGCACAGGUGGUGCAUGGCUGUCGUCAGCUCGUGUCGUGAGAUGUUGGGUUAAGUCCCGCAACGAGCGCAACCCUCGUCCUAUGUUGCCAGCGGGUAAUGCCGGGGACUCAUAGGAGACUGCCGGGGUCAACUCGGAGGAAGGUGGGGAUGAGGUCAAGUCAUCAUGCCCCUUAAGUCUUGGGCUGCAAACAUGCUACAAUGGCCGGUACAGAGGGCUGCGAAACCGCAAGGUGGAGCGAAUCUCAAAAAGCCGGUCUCAGUUCGGAUUGGGGUCUGCAACUCGACCCCAUGAAGUCGGAGUCGCUAGUAAUCGCAGAUCAGCAACGCUGCGGUGAAUACGUUCCCGGGCCUUGUA